ACUGGGGUGAAGUCGUAACAAGGUAACCGUAGGGGAACCUGCGGUUGGAUCACCUCCUUACCUUAAAGAACCUG
RNAcentral lists this ribosomal RNA (74 nucleotides) under Klebsiella pneumoniae. RNAcentral's name for it is "partial 16S ribosomal RNA". The stretch from base 1 to 60 matches the Rfam family "Bacterial small subunit ribosomal RNA", at positions 1474 to 1533 of the family's 1533-position model. Lineage: Bacteria; Pseudomonadati; Pseudomonadota; Gammaproteobacteria; Enterobacterales; Enterobacteriaceae. The record is from RNAcentral.